CGUAACGCGUGAGCAACCUACCCAUAUCAGGGGGAUAGCCUCUCGAAAGAGAGAUUAACACCGCAUAACAUCAUUUACCGGCAUCGGAUUAUGAUCAAAUAUUUAUAGGAUAUGGAUGGGCUCGCGUGACAUUAGCUAGUUGGAGGGGUAACGGCCCACCAAGGCUACGAUGUCUAGGGGCUCUGAGAGGAGAAUCCCCCACACUGGUACUGAGACACGGACCAGACUCCUACGGGAGGCAGCAGUAAGGAAUAUUGGUCAAUGGAGGGAACUCUGAACCAGCCAUGCCGCGUGCAGGAUGACUGCCCUAUGGGUUGUAAACUGCUUUUGUCAGGGAAUAAACCUUUCCACGUGUGGGAAGCUGAAUGUACCUGAAGAAUAAGGAUCGGCUAACUCCGUGCCAGCAGCCGCGGUAAUACGGAGGAUCCAAGCGUUAUCCGGAUUUAUUGGGUUUAAAGGGUGCGUAGGCGGUCCUAUAAGUCAGUGGUGAAAGACGGCAGCUUAACUGUCGCAGUGCCUUUGAUACUGUAGGACUUGAAUCUAUUUGAAGUGGGCGGAAUAAGACAAGUAGCGGUGAAAUGCAUAGAUAUGUCUUAGAACUCCGAUUGCGAAGGCAGCUCACUAAGUUAGUAUUGACGCUGAUGCACGAAAGCGUGGGGAUCAAACAGGAUUAGAUACCCUGGUAGUCCACGCCCUAAACGAUGAUAACUCGAUGUUUGCGAUACACAGUAAGCGUCCAAGCGAAAGCGUUAAGUUAUCCACCUGGGGAGUACGGUCGCAAGAUUGAAACUCAAAGGAAUUGACGGGGGCCCGCACAAGCGGAGGAGCAUGUGGUUUAAUUCGAUGAUACGCGAGGAACCUUACCCGGGCUUGAAAGUUAGUGAAUGAUCCAGAGACGGAUCAGUCCUUCGGGACACGAAACUAGGUGCUGCAUGGCUGUCGUCAGCUCGUGCCGUGAGGUGUUGGGUUAAGUCCCGCAACGAGCGCAACCCCUAUGUUUAGUUGCCAGCACAUUAAGGUGGGGACUCUAAACAGACUGCCAGCGUAAGCUGUGAGGAAGGUGGGGACGACGUCAAGUCAUCAUGGCCCUUACGUCCGGGGCUACACACGUGCUACAAUGGAUGGUACAGCGGGCAGCUACAUAGCAAUAUGGUGCUAAUCUCUAAAAGCCAUUCACAGUUCGGAUUGAGGUCUGCAACUCGACCUCAUGAAGUUGGAUUCGCUAGUAAUCGCGUAUCAGCAAUGACGCGGUGAAUACGUUCCCG
This 1265-nucleotide ribosomal RNA is filed under the name Sphingobacterium sp. IARI-T-13. RNAcentral describes it as "bacterial SSU rRNA". It matches the Rfam family "Bacterial small subunit ribosomal RNA", at positions 109 to 1376 of the family's 1533-position model. The record is from RNAcentral. Lineage: Bacteria; Pseudomonadati; Bacteroidota; Sphingobacteriia; Sphingobacteriales; Sphingobacteriaceae.